AACGUAGGAGACAACCGUUAUCCGGAGUUACUGGGCGUAAAGGGCGUGUAGGCGGUUAGUUAAGUCUGGCGUGAAAGCCCCCGGCUCAACUGGGGAGGGUCACGCGAUACUGAUCGACUCGAAGGCAGGAGAGGGUAGUGGAAUUCCCGGUGUAGUGGUGAAAUGCGUAGAUAUCGGGAGGAACACCAGUGGCGAAGGCGACUACCUGGCCUGUUCUUGACGCUGAGGCGCGAAAGCUAGGGGAGCAAACGGG
RNAcentral lists this ribosomal RNA (253 nucleotides) under uncultured bacterium. Its description in RNAcentral is "partial 16S ribosomal RNA". It matches the Rfam family "Bacterial small subunit ribosomal RNA", at positions 524 to 776 of the family's 1533-position model. The record is from RNAcentral.